This 425-nucleotide ribosomal RNA is filed under the name uncultured bacterium. RNAcentral's name for it is "partial 16S ribosomal RNA". It matches the Rfam family "Bacterial small subunit ribosomal RNA", at positions 354 to 796 of the family's 1533-position model. The record is from RNAcentral.
GUGGGGAAUCUUGCGCAAUGGGCGAAAGCCUGACGCAGCCAUGCCGCGUGGAUGAUGAAGGUCUUAGGAUUGUAAAAUCCUUUCACCGGCGAAGAUAAUGACUGUAGCCGGAGAAGAAGCCCCGGCUAACUUCGUGCCAGCAGCCGCGGUAAUACGAAGGGGGCUAGCGUUGUUCGGAAUUACUGGGCGUAAAGCGCACGUAGGCGGACAUUUAAGUCAGGGGUGAAAUCCCGGGGCUCAACCCCGGAACUGCCUUUGAUACUGGGUGUCUGGAGUAUGGAAGAGGUAAGUGGAAUUCCGAGUGUAGAGGUGAAAUUCGUAGAUAUUCGGAGGAACACCAGUGGCGAAGGCGGCUUACUGGUCCAUUACUGACGCUGAGGUGCGAAAGCGUGAGGAGCAAACAGGAUUAGAUACCCUGGUAGUCC